GACGAACGCUGGCGGCGUGCUUAACACAUGCAAGUCGAGCGGAAAGGCCCUUCGGGGUACUCGAGCGGCGAACGGGUGAGUAACACGUGAGUAACCUGCCCUUGGCUCUGGGAUAGCUCCGGGAAACCGGAAUUAAUACCGGAUAUGACCUCGGCCGACAUCGGCUGUGGUGGAAAGAUUUAUCGGCCAGGGAUGGGCUCGCGGCCUAUCAGCUAGUUGGUGGGGUAACGCCUACCAAGGCGACGACGGGUAGCCGGCCUGAGAGGGCGACCGGCCACACUGGGACUGAGACACGGCCCAGACUCCUACGGGAGGCAGCAGUGGGGAAGUAUUGCGCAAUGGGCGAAAGCCUGACGCAGCGACGCCGCGU
Molecule: ribosomal RNA, 370 nt
Filed under: uncultured bacterium
Lineage: Bacteria
Description: bacterial SSU rRNA
Rfam family: Bacterial small subunit ribosomal RNA
Source: RNAcentral